This 876-nucleotide ribosomal RNA is filed under the name uncultured archaeon. Its description in RNAcentral is "bacterial SSU rRNA". It matches the Rfam family "Archaeal small subunit ribosomal RNA", at positions 21 to 903 of the family's 1478-position model. The record is from RNAcentral.
CCCGACUGCUAUCAGAGUGAGAUUAAGCCAUGCGAGUCAACGUAUGAAUAAUACGUGGCGAACGGCUCAGUAACACGUAGUCAACAUGCCCAGAGGACGUGGAUAACCUCGGGAAACUGAGGAUAAACCGCGAUAGGUCAUAAUUACUGGAAUGUGUUAUGGCCCAAAUCUAUAUGGCCUCUGGAUUGGACUGCGGCCGAUCAGGCUGUUGGUGAGGUAAUGGCCCACCAAACCUUUUACCGGUACGGGCUCUGAGAGGAGGAGCCCGGAGAUGGGCACUGAGACAAGGGCCCAGGCCCUAUGGGGCGCAGCAGGCGCGAAACCUCUGCAAUAGGCGAAAGCCUGACAGGGUUACUCUGAGUGAUUCCCGCUAAGGGAAUCUUUUGGCAUCUCUAAAAAUGGUGCAGAAUAAGGGGUGGGCAAGUCUGGUGUCAGCCGCCGCGGUAAUACCAGCACCCCGAGUGGUCGGGACGAUUAUUGGGCCUAAAGCAUCCGUAGCCGGUCUUGCAAGUCUUCCGUUAAAUCCACCCGCUCAACGGUUGGGCCGCGGGGGAUACUACAGGGCUAGGAGGCGGGAGAGGCAAGCGGUACUCGAUGGGUAGGGGUAAAAUCCACUGAUCCAUUGAAGACCACCAGUGGCGAAGGCGGCUUGCCAGAACGCGCUCGACGGUGAGGGAUGAAAGCUGGGGGAGCAAACCGGAUUAGAUACCCGGGUAGUCCCAGCUGUAAACGAUGCAGACUCGGUGAUGGGCUGGCUUCGUGCCAACCCGGUGCCGCAGGGAAGCCGUUAAGUCUGCCGCCUGGGGAGUACGGUCGCAAGACUGAAACUUAAAGGAAUUGGCGGGGGAGCACCACAARGGGUGAAGCCUGCGGUUC